UUUGGUGACGAUAGCGGAAGGGAACCACGCGUACCCAUCCCGAACACGGCCGUUAAGCCUUCCAGCGCCGAUGGUACUUGGACCGGAAGGGUCCUGGGAGAGUAGGACGUUGCCAAGC
Molecule: ribosomal RNA, 118 nt
Filed under: Paenibacillus larvae
Lineage: Bacteria; Bacillati; Bacillota; Bacilli; Caryophanales; Paenibacillaceae
Source: RNAcentral